AGUCGAGCGGACCGAAGGGAGCUUGCUCUUUUAGGUUAGCGGCGGACGGGUGAGUAACACGUGGGCAACCUGCCCUGCAGACUGGGAUAACUUCGGGAAACCGGAGCUAAUACCGGAUAACACCGAAAACCGCAUGGUUUUCGGUUGAAAGGCGGCUUUUAGCUGUCACUGCAGGAUGGGCCCGCGGCGCAUUAGCUAGUUGGUGAGGUAACGGCUCACCAAGGCGACGAUGCGUAGCCGACCUGAGAGGGUGACCGGCCACACUGGGACCGAGACACGGCCCAGACUCCUACGGGAGGCAGCAGUAGGGAAUCUUCCGCAAUGGACGAAAGUCUGACGGAGCAACGCCGCGUGAGCGAAGAAGGUCUUCGGAUCGUAAAGCUCUGUUGUCAGGGAAGAACAAGUACCGUUCGGACAGGGCGGUACCUUGACGGUACCUGACGAGGAAGCCACGGCUAACUACGUGCCAGCAGCCGCGGUAAUACGUAGGUGGCAAGCGUUGUCCGGAAUUAUUGGGCGUAAAGCGCGCGCAGGCGGUUCCUUAAGUCUGAUGUGAAAUCUCGCGGCUCAACCGCGAGCGGCCAUUGG
This 588-nucleotide ribosomal RNA is filed under the name uncultured bacterium. Its description in RNAcentral is "bacterial SSU rRNA". It matches the Rfam family "Bacterial small subunit ribosomal RNA", at positions 60 to 629 of the family's 1533-position model. The record is from RNAcentral.